CCGUUGUCUGUGGAGAUAGUGGUUACUCAUGGGAAACUGGAGUUAUCAAGGAGAUUCAUGCAGCCGCCUGAGGACUUGCCUGUCAGCAGCGAGAGCAGCUGAAGGAAGCAGGGGACACAGACUAACCCUGAGGAGGAAGUGGGCCACAGAGGAUGCUAGACUGUGGUACAAUGACAGCUGGAGAACAGAACACUGCAAAUGCCAUUCGAAAGAACCAGAAAACUGGCACGAGGAAAAGGUGA
RNAcentral lists this long non-coding RNA (242 nucleotides) under Cricetulus griseus (Chinese hamster). Its description in RNAcentral is "lncRNA (ENSCGRG00000026587.1)". The record is from RNAcentral. Lineage: Eukaryota; Metazoa; Chordata; Mammalia; Rodentia; Cricetidae.